This 368-nucleotide long non-coding RNA is filed under the name Homo sapiens (human). Its description in RNAcentral is "HSALNT0261223". Lineage: Eukaryota; Metazoa; Chordata; Mammalia; Primates; Hominidae. The record is from RNAcentral.
CUCGUUGGCUCCAGUCGGCAGAGCGGUCAUUUAGUUCUAGCUUCCCCGCUGGGCGAAUGCACCGUUUAGCUCCGCCUUACAGAGGGAACCACACCUUGACGUCGCUUCUACAGAUCUCUUACCUAUGACUUUAGGCUCGUCGGAUACGCGGGGGACCCUGAGUGAAGGCUGCAGACUCAUCAGGGGCAGAUGGAAAAAUACCAGGAUUGAGCCUCUCAGAAGUGAUGCUUGAAUCCAGUCUUCAAAGAUGAGGACUCCGGCAGGUGACGUGGCAAUAGCGUUUUGGAGGGACCAGUCCAGAUACACAGGCAUGGAGCCAUGCAUUUGUUCCAGAAAGUGUAUUUGGAUGGAACCGGAACAUGGAACAG